AAUCAACGCUGGCGGCGUGCCUAACACAUGCAAGUCGUACGAGAAAGAGGGGGCAACCCCUUGAGUACAGUGGCGUACGGGUGAGUAACACGUGACUAACCUACCUUCGAGUGGGGAAUAACCUCGGGAAACCGGGGCUAAGACCGCAUAAUAUCUUUGGGUUAAAUUCCUGAUGAUCAAAUGCGCAAGCAGCUUGAAGAGGGGGUCGCGGUUGAUUAGCUAGUUGGUGGGGUAAUGGCCCACCAAGGCGAUGAUCAAUAGCCGGCCUGAGAGGGCGCACGGCCACACUGGAACUGAAACACGGUCCAGACUCCUACGGGAGGCAGCAGUGGGGAAUUUGCGCAAUGGGGGAAACCCUGACGCAGCAACGCCGCGUGGA
This 379-nucleotide ribosomal RNA is filed under the name uncultured bacterium. RNAcentral describes it as "bacterial SSU rRNA". It matches the Rfam family "Bacterial small subunit ribosomal RNA", at positions 32 to 405 of the family's 1533-position model. The record is from RNAcentral.